Molecule: long non-coding RNA, 288 nt
Organism: Bombus pascuorum
Lineage: Eukaryota; Metazoa; Arthropoda; Insecta; Hymenoptera; Apidae
Exons: 2
Source: RefSeq, a predicted model, not a curated record
ACCAUUUCGAAUAUUAAUAUCGUUCCACUAAUCGAUUCCUGUAAUUUUACUGCGUGUGCAUUUUAUCGACUUACACGUCGAUUUUGAACGUCGAAUCGAGAUGUUAUGCUUCCUAUGAUCACUAAAACAACUUUUUAGGCGGGAAGAAUGUAAUCAACCACAUAAAUUCACAAUAAUUCACUAUCGAAAUUACGCAACUAUAGGCGAUUAUAAGAUGUAUCGGAUUUAAUGAGGUUAAGGCAUACUGUACAAGUUUGGGGACAACAAGAAGAAUAGGAAAAGGAAGAA